ACUCCAUGAAGCUGGAUUCGCUAGUAAUCGCGCAUCAGCCACGGCGCGGUGAAUACGUUCCCGGGCCUUGUACACACCGCCCGUCAAGCCAUGGAAGCCGGGAGUGCCUGAAGUGUGCAACCGCAAGGAGCGCCCUAAGGUAAAACCGGUGACUGGGGCUAAGUCGUAACAAGGUACC
RNAcentral lists this ribosomal RNA (178 nucleotides) under uncultured bacterium. RNAcentral's name for it is "partial 16S ribosomal RNA". It matches the Rfam family "Bacterial small subunit ribosomal RNA", at positions 1315 to 1500 of the family's 1533-position model. The record is from RNAcentral.